CGAAUCAUGCUCAACUCAAAUAGUCUUGUGACUCCUCACUAGGACUACCCUGCCCAAGGUUUUGCUAAAUUGAAACACGACUGUACACAGCUCCUGAACUGAAGUGGUCAAUCCCAUCUUGACACAUGCACCGACAAGUCAAGUACUUGACUACACCCAGCAGCCUUCCGUCACUGAAUUAGAAAUUCAGGUAGUCCAGUGCCUAAGUGCAAUGAGUUACUUGCAAGUCACUGUGGUGG
RNAcentral lists this long non-coding RNA (239 nucleotides) under Elaeis guineensis (African oil palm). RNAcentral describes it as "long non-coding RNA (EGUI_LNC040881)". The record is from RNAcentral. Lineage: Eukaryota; Viridiplantae; Streptophyta; Magnoliopsida; Arecales; Arecaceae.